AUUAAACUGAAACCACAUAUUUAUUUUUAUUUGGCACAAGAGGAAAAAAAUAAUUCUGUAACUAUAAAUGAAUAAAGAAGACAUAAACUGAAACAACUGUUUUUGUGGUUAUAGUUUAAUUGUAUUCUCAGUUAUGAAUUGACCAAUAUAAACUAAAACAUAUAAAGGAAAUAGAGCAUCAACACGACGCGACAAACGACA
Molecule: long non-coding RNA, 201 nt
Filed under: Mytilus galloprovincialis (Mediterranean mussel)
Lineage: Eukaryota; Metazoa; Mollusca; Bivalvia; Mytilida; Mytilidae
Source: RNAcentral